This 406-nucleotide ribosomal RNA is filed under the name uncultured bacterium. RNAcentral describes it as "partial 16S ribosomal RNA". It matches the Rfam family "Bacterial small subunit ribosomal RNA", at positions 30 to 526 of the family's 1533-position model. The record is from RNAcentral.
AUUGAACGCUGGCGGCAAGCCUAACACAUGCAAGUCGAACGAGUGGCGGACGGGCGAGUAAUGUCUGGGAAACUGCCUGAUGGAGGGGGAUAACUACUGGAAACGGUAGCUAAUACCGCAUACCAUCGGAUGUGCCCAGAGGGGAUUAGCUAGUAGGUGGGGUAAAGGCUCACCUAGGCGACGAUCCCGAGCUGGUCUGAGAGGAUGACCAGCCACACCGGAAAUGAGCCACGGUCCAGACUCCUACGGGAGGCAGCAGUGGGGAAUCUUGCAAAAUGGGCGCAAGCCUGAUGCAGCCAUGCCGCGUGUAUGAAGAAGGUCUUCGGGUUGUAAAGUACUUUCAGCGGGGAGGCGUUACCCGCAGAAGAAGCACCGGCUAACUCCGUGCCAGCAGCCGCGGUAAUAC